This 492-nucleotide ribosomal RNA is filed under the name uncultured bacterium. RNAcentral's name for it is "partial 16S ribosomal RNA". It matches the Rfam family "Bacterial small subunit ribosomal RNA", at positions 28 to 507 of the family's 1533-position model. The record is from RNAcentral.
GAUGAACGCUAGCUACAGGCUUAACACAUGCGAGUCGAGGGGAAACGGCAUCGAAAGCUUGCUUUUGAUGGGCGUCGACCGGCGCACGGGUGAGUAACGCGUAUCCAACCUGCCCAUCACUUGGGAAUAACCUUGCGAAAGUAAGAAUAAUGCCCAAUGACAUCCCACGAAGGCAUCCGAAUGGGAUUAAAGAUUUAUCGGUGAUGGAUGGGGAUGCGUCUGAUUAGCUUGUUGGCGGGGUGACGGCCCACCAAGGCAACGAUCAGUAGGGGUUCUGAGAGGAAGGUCCCCCACAUUGGAACUGAGACACGGUCCAAACUCCUACGGGAGGCAGCAGUGAGGAAUAUUGGUCAAUGGGCGAGAGCCUGAACCAGCCAAGUAGCGUGCAGGAUGACGGCCCUAUGGGUUGUAAACUGCUUUUAUAAGGGAAUAAAGUGGGUCACGUGUGACUUUUUGCAUGUACCUUAUGAAUAAGGACCGGCUAAUUCCGUG